AGUGAACGCUGGCGGUAGGCCUAACACAUGCAAGUCGAACGGCAGCACAGUAAGAGCUUGCUCUUACGGGUGGCGAGUGGCGGACGGGUGCGGAAUACAUCGGAAUCUACUUUUUCGUGGGGGAUAACGUAGGGAAACUUACGCUAAUACCGCAUACGACCUACGGGUGAAAGCAGGGGAUCUUCGGACCUUGCGCGAUCGAAUGAGCCGAUGUCGGAUUAGCUAGUUGGCGGGGUAAAGGCCCACCAAGGCGACGAUCCGUAGCUGGUCUGAGAGGAUGAUCAGCCACACUGGAACUGAGACACGGUCCAGACUCCUACGGGAGGCAGCAGUGGGGAAUAUUGGACAAUGGGCGCAAGCCUGAUCCAGCCAUACCGCGUGGGUGAAGAAGGCCUUCGGGUUGUAAAGCCCUUUUGUUGGGAAAGAAAAGCAGCAGGUUAAUACCCCGCUGUUCUGACGGUACCCAAAGAAUAAGCACCGGCUAACUUCGUG
Molecule: ribosomal RNA, 492 nt
Filed under: uncultured bacterium
Lineage: Bacteria
Description: partial 16S ribosomal RNA
Rfam family: Bacterial small subunit ribosomal RNA
Source: RNAcentral